Molecule: ribosomal RNA, 239 nt
Filed under: uncultured bacterium
Lineage: Bacteria
Description: partial 16S ribosomal RNA
Rfam family: Bacterial small subunit ribosomal RNA
Source: RNAcentral
GAUCAUGGCUCAGGAUGAACGCUGGCAGCGUGCUUAACACAUGCAAGUCGAGCGAAGCACUUAGGAAAGAUUCUUCGGAUGAUUUCCUAUUUGACUGAGCGGGCGGACGGGCGAAGGUAACGCGUGGGUAACCUGCCUCAUACAGGGGGAUAACAGUUAGAAAUGACUGCUAAUACCGCAUAAGACCACAGCACCGCAUGGUGCAGGGGUAAAAACUCCGGUGGUAUGAGAUGGACCCG